UUUCCGUAGGUGAACCUGCGGAAGGAUCAUUAAAAAAUUGGACUCCAUUGGUGAGUUCAUUAAUAAUCCUACCCUUUGUGAAUUUGUUUGUUUGAAUAAUUUUUUUUCCAAAAAAAAUUAUUGAAUGUCUUUCCCUGUUUUGGUGGAGCUUGUAAAGUGAAACCAGGCAGGGGAAUGGCAAACAAUAAUUAUUUUUGAAAAAGACCUUUUUUAAAAUUAAACUUUUUGUAUUCAUUUGUCUAAAAUUAUUUUUAUAAUAUAAAAACAACUUUUGACAAUGGAUCUCUUGGUUCUCGCAACGAUGAAGAACGCAGCAAAAUGCGAUAAGUAGUGUGAAUUGCAGAAUACGUGAAUCAUCGAAUCUUCGAACGCAUAUUGCACUUUUUUAGUUUACUAAAAAAGUAUGUCUGUUUGAGUAUCAGUAAAAUAUUCUCAUAAAAAAUUUAUUUUUUAUGGUUAUGAGUGUUUUACAACGAUAACAAGUUGUUUCACUUUAAAUUCUUUGUUAUCAAAAAAAUCAUUAAAAGCUAAUUUUAAAGAUUUUUUAAAAUUGGAUAAAAUUUUCCCGUAAAAAGGAAUAACCUAAACAAUUUUAAAAAAUUAAAAUUGGUUUGAUUUUUCUUGAUUUAAAAAGGAAAAAAAAGUAAAAAUUAACUUGAUCUCAAAUCAGAUAAGAGUACCCGCUGAACUUAAGCAUAUCAAUAAGCGGAGGAAAAGAAACUAACUAGGAUUCCCUCAGUAACGGCGAGUGAAGCGGGAAGAGCUCAAAUUUGAAAUCUUCGAGGUUUUACCUUGACGAAUUGUAGUUUAAAGAAGUGUUUUCUGUUGGAGUUUUGGUAAAAGUUCUUUGGAAAAGGACAUCAUAGAGGGUGAGAAUCCCGUAUUUGACCAUUAUCUCCAGCUUUGUGAUACACUUUCAAAGAGUCGGAUUGUUUGGGAAUGCAGUCCAAAAUGGGUGGUAAAUUUCAUCUAAAGCUAAAUACUGGCGAGAGACCGAUAGCGAACAAGUACCGUGAGGGAAAGAUGAAAAGAACUUUGAAAAGAGAGUUAAACAGUACGUGAAAUUGUCAAAAGGGAAGCGUUUGACACCAGUGUUGUUUUCUCGAAAAUCAAUUAAAAAAGGCCGGAUUUUGUGUUGUAUUGACUUUAUCAGCUUUCUGCACUUUUUUCUUGUCUUUUUUAAUGCACUUUUCGUUUAACAAGUCAACAUCAAUUUCUUUUGUUGUAAAAGGGUCAUUGGAAGGUGGCUUUCUUUUCGGAGAAAGUGUUUAUAGCCUUUGGCCUCUGCAAUCGGAGAGAUUGAGGUCCGCAGCGUAGAUCCUUCGGGGUUAGAUACAUUUGUGCUAAGUUAUAGCCUUUCAUAGACAACUUGUUGACUAUGAUCAGUCAUGUAGCUUACUCGCUUAUGCUAUUU
This 1414-nucleotide unclassified non-coding RNA is filed under the name uncultured Neocallimastigales. RNAcentral describes it as "partial contains small subunit ribosomal RNA, internal transcribed spacer 1, 5.8S ribosomal RNA, internal transcribed spacer 2, and large subunit ribosomal RNA". The stretch from base 657 to 1414 matches the Rfam family "Eukaryotic large subunit ribosomal RNA", at positions 1 to 617 of the family's 3401-position model. Lineage: Eukaryota; Fungi; Neocallimastigomycota; Neocallimastigomycetes; Neocallimastigales. The record is from RNAcentral.